CCAUAAUCAUCUUCACUGACAUUUUUGGUGACCAACAAAAGAUAUUGAUCCUACCCAUCAUCACAUUUGGCCUUCACCGCAUAAACCCGGGUAGCGUGGACAACGACAGUAAUUAAUGCGGAGGAGGCGACGGAGCUGGUCCGAGAAAGACAGGAUUGGCCUAACUACAAAUCGGUCCAAUCUAAGGGCAGUCCCAACACUCCACCUCAGCUAAUAUCGAUAGAAUUUAUUACGGUGCCACAUAAGAAAAAAUUAAGGAAGAGAUUGGGGAAAAAGCAGAGAAAGGAUGUCUCAUGCACGAAACUAGAUCGGCGCAGUUACCAAGACUCAGGAAACGAGUUAUAUCUGCGUUGGAGCAGCUCAUCGUUUCUUCCAUCCAAAUCUCACUCCGCCUCCCGAUCCGUUGUGCCCGUCCCCUCCCGCCACCAUGGCCGCGCUCCAUCCGCGGGCCAAAUCUCAUUCCCGCGCGCCAGCUUAUUCUACCACGGGCUAAAUCUCCGUGAAAUUUCGGCGCGUCCCCAAAUCUCAGAGCGCCAAGGUUUUGGUUGUCGUCCUUCUCAUCCCCAAUCAAAUUUUGUUGGCAGCUAAAUCGCCCAAAUCCAUCCGCAAUCGCUCAACCGAGAUCCAAUCGAGCUGCAAGGUGAAUCCUCCACCCUUGCUGCAAUUGCUGUUGGUGCUCCAGAUUCAAGUUCUAUUGAUGGUGGUGCUUCUCGAGUUGGCGGUCCAGUUGCCGGUUUUCCAUGGUGAACAGAAUCAUCUCCUAGCAGGGCAGACCUAUAAAUUGCUUAUUUUACUCCGUAGAAACCGAUGUUAAUCAGUAUCAUUAGUUAAUUAGUAGGUAAUAUUGGACUGGGAUUUUUUUUUUCACUUCAACGAACUCCAGCUUGUCUACUGAUGCGUUACUGCUAGAUCAUUGAUCCAUUCCCUUUGUUUAUUUGUAUGGUUACCUAUAUUAUAGUUGUGUGAUUGAUCUAAUUUGGUACUAUAUCACUCUGUUCUUAUGUUGAUCAAUCGUUGUGCCAUUUUGAUAUGAUGCGGGAUUCCAGUUUGCUACAUGGCUAUACGGCCACGACAUAUCCU
This 1080-nucleotide long non-coding RNA is filed under the name Oryza brachyantha (malo sina). RNAcentral describes it as "long non-coding RNA (OBRA_LNC001090)". The record is from RNAcentral. Lineage: Eukaryota; Viridiplantae; Streptophyta; Magnoliopsida; Poales; Poaceae.